Molecule: ribosomal RNA, 492 nt
Filed under: uncultured bacterium
Lineage: Bacteria
Description: partial 16S ribosomal RNA
Rfam family: Bacterial small subunit ribosomal RNA
Source: RNAcentral
AGUGAACGCUGGCGGUAGGCCUAACACAUGCAAGUCGAACGGCAGCACAGUAAGAGCUUGCUCUUACGGGUGGCGAGUGGCGGACGGGUGAGGAAUACAUCGGAAUCUACUUUUUCGUGGGGGAUAACGUAGGGAAACUUACGCUAAUACCGCAUACGACCUACGGGUGAAAGCAGGGGAUCUUCGGACCUUGCGCGAUUGAAUGAGCCGAUGUCGGAUUAGCUAGUUGGCGGGGUAAAGGCCCACCAAGGCGGCGAUCCGUAGCUGGGCUGAGAGGAUGAUCAGCCAAAAUGGAACUGAGACAAGGUCCAGACUCCUAAGGGAGGCAGCAGUGGGGAAUAUUGGACAAUGGGCGCAAGCCUGAUCCAGCCAUACCGCGUGGGUGAAGAAGGCCUUCGGGUUGGAAAGCCCUUUUGUUGGGAAAGAAAAGCAGCAGGUUAAUACCCCGCUGUUCUGACGGUACCCAAAGAAUAAGCACCGGCUAACUUCGUG